CGAGCCGGCCGGGCGGUCGCGUGGGGAUCGCAAGAUCCUCCCGAGGAACGUCCGGGCUCCACAGGGCAGGGUGGUGGGUAACGCCCACCCGGGGUGACCCGCGGGACAGUGCCACAGAAAGCAAACCGCCCGGGCCGCACGGCCCGGGUAAGGGUGAAACGGUGGUGUAAGAGACCACCAGUGCCCAGGGUGACCUGGGCAGCUAGGUAAACCCCACCCGGAGCAAGGUCAAGAGGGGCCAUCGGCUGAUGGCCCUGCGCGGACGAUCGAGGGCUGCCCGCCCGAGUCCGCGGGUAGACCGCACGAGGCUGUCGGCAACGGCAGCCCUAGAUGGAUGGCCGCCUCCCGGCCGACCGCAAGGUCGCCCGGAGACAGAACCCGGCGUACAGGCUGGACUCGUCCG
Molecule: RNase P RNA, 403 nt
Filed under: Streptomyces noursei
Lineage: Bacteria; Bacillati; Actinomycetota; Actinomycetes; Kitasatosporales; Streptomycetaceae
Description: RNase P RNA component class A
Rfam family: Bacterial RNase P class A
About the family: Ribonuclease P (RNase P) is a ubiquitous endoribonuclease, found in archaea, bacteria and eukarya as well as chloroplasts and mitochondria. Its best characterised activity is the generation of mature 5'-ends of tRNAs by cleaving the 5'-leader elements of precursor-tRNAs.
Source: RNAcentral